GGGCCCGUAGCUCAGCUAGGUAGAGCAGCAGGCUUUUAACCUGAUGGUCGCGCGUUCAAAUCGCGCCGGGCUCGCCA
This 77-nucleotide transfer RNA is filed under the name Candidatus Coatesiibacteriota bacterium. Its description in RNAcentral is "Candidatus Coatesbacteria bacterium tRNA-Lys". It matches the Rfam family "tRNA". From Rfam's summary of the family: Transfer RNA (tRNA) molecules are approximately 80 nucleotides in length. Their secondary structure includes four short double-helical elements and three loops (D, anti-codon, and T loops). The record is from RNAcentral. Lineage: Bacteria; Candidatus Coatesiibacteriota. RNAcentral also lists the same sequence under 1 other name.